GAUGAACGCUGGCGGCGUGCCUAAUACAUGCAAGUCGAGCGAACAGACGAGGAGCCUGCUCCUCUGACGUUAGCGGCGGACGGGUGAGUAACACGUGGAUAACCUACCUAUAAGACUGGGAUAACUUCGGGAAACCGGAGCUAAUACCGGAUAAUAUAUUGAACCGCAUGGUUCAAUAGUGAAAGACGGUUUUGCUGUCACUUAUAGAUGGAUCCGCGCCGCAUUAGCUAGUUGGUAAGGUAACGGCUUACCAAGGCAACGAUGCGUAGCCGACCUGAGAGGGUGAUCGGCCACACUGGAACUGAGACACGGUCCAGACUCCUACGGGAGGCAGCAGUAGGGAAUAUUCCGCAAUGGGCGAAAGCUUGACGGAGCAACGCCGCGUGAGUGAUGAAGGUCUUCGGAUCGUAAAACUCUGUUAUUAGGGAAGAACAAAUGUGUAAGUAACUAUGCACGUCUUGACGGUACCUAAUCAGAAAGCCACGGCUAACUACGUG
RNAcentral lists this ribosomal RNA (497 nucleotides) under uncultured bacterium. RNAcentral describes it as "partial 16S ribosomal RNA". It matches the Rfam family "Bacterial small subunit ribosomal RNA", at positions 28 to 507 of the family's 1533-position model. The record is from RNAcentral.